GACGAACGCUGGCGGCGUGCUUAACACAUGCAAGUCGAACGAAGUGGCGAACGGGUGAGUAACGCGUAAUCAACCUGCCCUUCAGAGGGGGACAACAGUGGGAAAAGACUGCUAAUACCGCAUACUGAAGGGGGGGAUUGCGUCGGAUUGGCUAGUGGGAGGGGUAACGGCCCACCAGGGCGAUGAUCAGUGGCCGGUCUUGGAGGAUUAACGGCCACAUUGGGAAUGAGACACGGCCCAGACUCCUACGGGGUGCAGCAGUGGGGAAUUUUCCGCAAUGGACGAAAGUCUGAAGGAGCAACGCCGCGUGAGUGAUGACGGGCUUCGGGUUGUAAGGCUCUGUUAAUCGGGACGCGGUACCGGAAUAGAAAGCCACGGCUAACUACGUGCCAGCAGCCGCGGUAAUUC
This 408-nucleotide ribosomal RNA is filed under the name uncultured bacterium. RNAcentral describes it as "partial 16S ribosomal RNA". It matches the Rfam family "Bacterial small subunit ribosomal RNA", at positions 28 to 526 of the family's 1533-position model. The record is from RNAcentral.